Molecule: non-coding RNA, 1461 nt
Organism: Paramormyrops kingsleyae
Lineage: Eukaryota; Metazoa; Chordata; Actinopteri; Osteoglossiformes; Mormyridae
Source: RefSeq, a predicted model, not a curated record
CUGUGGUACUGCAAGUGUAUUUUCGGUUAGGAGUCACGAAUUAUAUUUUUAUUUCUGACAACACUGCUAUGAAGCUGGAGAUGUGCUGUAGUAUAACCUCAGUGUGUUAAGGCGGAACAGGUGCUCUUCGACUUACGAUGAGGUAACGUCCCGAUGAAUGGAAAAUAUCGUAAGUUGAAUAUGAAAAUGAUGCGAUAACUACUGUCACUGAAUAGGUGAUUACUAAUAAUAUUGAAUAAAUAACUACUGUAACUAAAUAACAGUAAUUUAAAAGUAAUUAAUAGAAGUUUAUUUGGUUAAACGGAAGAACACACCGAUGUGUCGUUAAACACUGUACGUGACAUUUACGCUGGCGAUUGCUACGCAGGAUGGAAGCGGGGCUGCGUGGAUGCUGCCAUUGCCUGGCAUCGGUAGAGUGUAUCGUACGGCAUAUCGAUAGCCCGGGCACACAUCAAAAUUCAAAUUUUGAUAACUACAAAAUGUGCAUUGGUUUCGCACCAUUAUAAAGUGAGGAAAAUCUGUAUGCAGAUAAGAGACCGCACCUGUGGGGUACAUCUUCUCUAGCCCACUUGGGGGCGCAACUCACCACAGAACUGGGACUGUCACUACAAAUGGGUCACACAUUGCCUCGUCCCUUUCAUGGAGAUUUGAGAGCGGAAACGCAAAAUUACCAAUGCUUCAGAUAAUUCGUGGAGGACACAGCCAUGCCCUUUUUGAAGUAAAUCCUUCAAAUUAUUUUUACAAAUUGAUUUUUUUUGGGUAGUGGAAAGAGUGUGUGUACUAUCUAAUGAGAGUCCUUGAGGGAACAAAAGCCUUUUCCAGCAAGCUGUAGAUAUGUUGCUGCAGUAGGAUCCACUCACCCGCCUCUGGAGACUGGACAGGCUGCUACAGAUUUGCAUUGGUCUACAGGCUGCAUUUGUACUACUCUUCACUCAAAGACUACAUCAGUGAGGCGUGAAACAUGGGGGGCCAGAAAAGAUGACCCAUCUCUCUCCAACCGCCGAAACGCACGGGUAACACUAAGAUACUGACUAAGACGACGUUGAGGAACAGUUUUGUACAACAAGCCAACGAAACGUUUCACUGACAAUACUGAGAAUGGGAUGCAACUCAGCGGAGGCAGUCAGCUGACAGAGGUGAAAGGUCAGCUGCAGAUGGGGGCUGUCAUGCACUUUAACCCAAGAAUAAUACACAUUCGAACAAAGAAAAACACACUUGUGCCUCGAGCUUUCAAACUGUAAAAAUGACCAUAUAGAAUUUGUUUUAACGCCAAAAUUGUGACUGCUAUCUCAGUUUUGCAAAAGAAGAGUGACACCGGGAUGUGAAAAGCCCAGUUCUGCAGAGCAGUUCAAGUCCAUGGACACGCCGCAGUGAAGUCCGGAGCUCUCCGUAGCCGACAGGUGUCAGUGAAGGAGGGCGCGUCAGAGCAAGCCCCUGUUUGAGCACGUUUGAGGCAUGGCA